GACAAUCAUUCCGGGCUUCUAACGGCGAGUGGUCAUUAACAAUUAAUCUUCUGCCCCUGCCUCCCGGGGAGCGGUGGAUCGCCGGCAAAUGCUCUAUACAACCUUCCUCCUCCUGGUGGAGGGCGGACCGAUCUUUCGGACCCGCAUGCUCUCGCAGCCUAUCACCUUGUUGGUGAGGUAACGGCGGAUCAAGGCGAUUACCGGCAACCGGCCUGAUAAGGCGACCGGCCAACCUGGGACUGAGACACAGCCCAGACUCCUGCGAACUCGGGCGGUGGGCAAUAUUGGGCAAUGGGCGAAAGUGUGACACAGCUUCGCCUCGUGGGGCUUGAUGGCCUUCGAAUUGUAUGCCUCUUUUACCACCAAAGCACGCGGCGGAUUCUCUCCGGGUUGACGGGGGGUGGGGAAUAAGGACCGGCUAACUCCGAGCUAGCGGCCGCGGUAAUACCUAAGGUCCAAUCGUUGUCCGGAAUUGUUGUCCGUAGGCACAACCUAGGAAGCGUGUCUCGUCUGCUGUUGUGAAGUUCGACUUAACUCCGGUGCUGUCUGGUGCGGGCGUGCUUGAGGUAGGUAGGGGAGUCUCGAUUUCGAGUUGUAGAGAGGAGAUGCGCAGAUAUCAUGUGGAGCACCAUUUGCGAAGAAGUGUCUGUAACCCCUAGCGUGGAGGUGAGGAGCAGUGAGCAUGGUGAGCGAACAGAGAUGAGAUAAGCGUGGUAGUCCUAACACGUAAUACGAUGGGCUGGUAGUUGUGGGGAGUAUACGAUGUAUCCGCGCCGUCGGCUAACCAUGUAAGCGGCUGUCCCUGGGGAGUAGGGCCGGCAAGGCUAAAACUCAAGGGAAUUGACGGGGGUCAAACUCAAAAGGCGGAGCGGGGGCCUUAAUCAAACGCUGGAGCAAGAACCUUAAUUCGAGUUUGACAUGCAGAACUGGACCAAAGAGAUACGAGGUCAUUUAUUUGGUGGGAGUCAGCUUCUCAUAAGAGUCGUCAUACAGGUGCUGAGAUGUUGGGUUAAGUCCGGGUAGGAGCGCAACCCUUGUUGUUCGUUACCAGGCGCAAAUCGUGUGGAUACAUGGGAGACUUCAGGGGUCAACUCGGAGGAAGGUGGGGACGAUAACUAGUCAUCAUGCCCGGAAUAUGUCAAGUCGUAAACACCCUUCAAUGUUGGGUACAACACGCGUUACAUACCGUAAGGCGGAGGGUAAACCCCCAAACCCGUUUCAGUUCGGGAGGUGUUUUGCAAUUGGACCCCGGAAGUGGGAAUCGCUAGAACCGCGAAACAGCUGCCGCAUUCUCCCCC
RNAcentral lists this ribosomal RNA (1298 nucleotides) under Streptomyces sp. MM 3. Its description in RNAcentral is "bacterial SSU rRNA". It matches the Rfam family "Bacterial small subunit ribosomal RNA", at positions 75 to 1370 of the family's 1533-position model. Lineage: Bacteria; Bacillati; Actinomycetota; Actinomycetes; Kitasatosporales; Streptomycetaceae. The record is from RNAcentral.